CCGGGCUCUGAAGCAAUCGGAAGUGGUUCCAAGAAAAGCCUCUAAGCUUCAGUCAUACGAGACCGUACCGCAAACCGACACAGGUGGGCGAGAUGAGUAUUCUAAGGCGCUUGAGAGAACUCGGGAGAAGGAACUCGGCAAAUUGGUACCGUAACUUCGGGAAAAGGUACGCCCUUGUAGCUUGGCUGAUUUACUUCAGUAGGGCGAACGGGUUGCAAUAAACUGGUGGCUGCGACUGUUUAAUAAAAACACAGCACUCUGCAAACACGAAAGUGGACGUAUAGGGUGUGACGCCUGCCCGGUGCUGGAAGAUUAAAUGAUGGGGUGCAAGCUCUUGAUUGAAGUCCCAGUAAACGGCGGCCGUAACAAUAACGGUCCUAAGGUAGCGAAAUUCCUUGUCGGGUAAGUUCCGACCUGCACGAAUGGCGUAACGAUGGCCACACUGUCUCCUCCCGAGACUCAGCGAAGUUGAAGUGUUUGUGAUGAUGCAAUCUACCCGCGGCUAGACGGAAAGACCCCAUGAACCUUUACUGUAGCUUUGCAUUGGACUUUGAAUCAAUCUGUGUAGGAUAGGUGGGAGGCUUUGAAGCGGGGACGCCAGUUCUCGUGGAGCCAACCUUGAAAUACCACCCUGGUUCAUUUGAGGUUCUAACCUUGGCCCGUUAUCCGGGUCGGGGACAGUGCAUGGUAGGCAGUUUGACUGGGGCGGUCUCCUCCUAAAGUGUAACGGAGGAGUUCGAAGGUACGCUAGGUACGGUCGGACAUCGUGCUAAUAGUGCAAUGGCAUAAGCGUGCUUAACUGCGAGACUGACAAGUCGAGCAGGUACGAAAGUAGGACAUAGUGAUCCGGUGGUUCUGUAUGGAAGGGCCAUCGCUCAACGGAUAAAAGGUACUCUGGGGAUAACAGGCUGAUUCCUCCCAAGAGUUCAUAUCGACGGGGGAGUUUGGCACCUCGAUGUCGGCUCAUCACAUCCUGGGGCUGUAGCCGGUCCCAAGGGUAUGGCUGUUCGCCAUUUAAAGUGGUACGUGAGCUGGGUUUAAAACGUCGUGAGACAGUUUGGUCCCUAUCUGCCGUGGGCGUUGGAAAUUUGAAGGGGCUGCUCCUAGUACGAGAGGACCGCAGUGGACAGACCUCUGGUGUACCGGUUGUCACGCCAGUGGCAUUGCCGGGUAGCUAAGUCUGGAAGAGAUAACCGCUGAAAGCAUCUAAGCGGGAAACUUGCCUUAAGAUGAGAUUUCCCAGAGCCUUGAGCUCUUUGAAGGGUCGUUCGAGACCAGGACGUUGAUAGGUCAGGUGUGGAAGUG
RNAcentral lists this ribosomal RNA (1305 nucleotides) under metagenome. RNAcentral's name for it is "bacterial LSU rRNA". It matches the Rfam family "Bacterial large subunit ribosomal RNA", at positions 1579 to 2875 of the family's 2925-position model. The record is from RNAcentral.